Molecule: long non-coding RNA, 36902 nt
Filed under: Physcomitrium patens
Lineage: Eukaryota; Viridiplantae; Streptophyta; Bryopsida; Funariales; Funariaceae
Description: long non-coding RNA (PPAT_LNC012864)
Source: RNAcentral
AAGGCAAAGAGCUACUUACAAUCGUGGAUUCAUUUUAAAAAUAGUGUCAUUAUCUAAAUGAUCCUUUUAGUUUAGCCACCAUAUAUAUGGAUCACAAGAACCUCAAGUACUUCAUGUUGGCAUGUGAUUUGAAUUGCUGCCAAGCAUAUUGGAGCAUAUUUUUAUGAAGAUUUGAUUUUAAGAUCACUUAAUGAUCCAAAAAAUAAUAAGGUUUAUCAAAUAUUGUUUCAAAAAAUUCUUAUCUUAUAUCCAAAGAAUCAAAUGCAUCAAAAUAAGUAUUUAUUGUAGCUUUAGUUAGAACGUCUAAUAAAUAUUCUUCUUCAUUGUUAUCUUCUAUUAUAUUAGUAAAAGUUUCUUUUUUUUUUUAAUUAAAAAAUCAUUUAUUUUAUUUUAUUUUUUAGAUUUAUUGCAUAAUACUUUCAAAAAUAAUAUUUAAAUUUUUCAUAUUUGUAGCAAGUGAUAUAUAUUUUUUUAAUCACUAUUUCAAAGAUGUGUCUUACUAUUGAAUUUACACCUUUCUGUUGUAAAAAUAUAAAAUAAAUAAAUAAAUAAAUUUCUAUUUUUUUUAAUGGAUUUUUCUAUUCAAACAAUAAAUCUAUAGUAGACUCUUAAAAGCAUAGUUUUGAUAUCAUGUUGGUAUAAAAAAGUAUUUACUUUAGCAUAUAUUAAUGAUAUAAUAUUCUAUAUAAUAUCAAUGAUUAUUAAUAUAGAUUUUUUUAAAGACAAAUAUAUAAUAACUUCAUCUAAUAAAGAGGAAUAAAACUCUAAUUACCUCAAUCUAAGGAAUAAGUGGAUACACAUGAUUUUAAUCCCAAUUCUAAAGAAUGAAUAAGUAGAGGAUGACAAUAUACUAAUAGAUGUAUAGGCAAAUAAAAAUCACAUCAAAAAAUAAGAGACCACAAAAAGAAUCUAUAUGAAAAAUGAAACAAAUCAAUUUUAUUAUUUGUCAUCAUAAAUUGCCUCUCAAUUGCUUAUUAAUUUAAUAUAUUGCUACUAGUCUCAAUAUGGAAUUGUUAUUAUAAGCUCAAGGAAUUCCAGAUAGGAUGAAGCAUUGGUCACAAAUAAAAAAAUAAAAAUAUUAUAUAUACUCUCAAACAUAUUGAAAUAUCAAAAAUAUCCAUGUAUUUUUGGUAAUAGCAAAUAUAUCCCCUACUUUUGUGAUGAUAUCAAAUCUAUCCUUGAAUGUAAUAAGUUAUAAUAAUUAUUUAUUUUUUAGAUGCAAUUGAGGCCUAAACCAUAUAUUGCAUUGUCAUAAUAAAGAGAGUUUUGCUUCAAGAAAGCAUUGAGCUUCUAGCAGGCACUAAUUACUCAAACAAGUUGUAAGUUUAUAAAAUACAAAUCUUAUUUGUAGCUUGUCUUCAUGAAGAUAAUUAUAUCAAAUGUACAAGUCUUGGAUGCACAAGAGUCUCCAAGAUGUGAUUAGAUAUCCUAAAACUACUUCUAUUCUUAUAGAGAUUCCUUCCAAAUUUGUAUUAUCCAAUAACUUCCAAUCUAAUCAUUCAAUUGAAUUAAAAAAAAUUUACAACUUAACUUAUAUCUUUAACUACUUCUACAAAAAUAAUCAACUAUAGAUUCAUUACAGAUCUUUAGUUAUUACCUAAUUUCUAGUAGAAGCUAAACAUAUUAAUUUUUAGAUAUUUACACACUAAAUCUACUAUUUUUCAAAAAUCUAAUACUUAAAUAAUAUGAUAUUUUAUAUAUAGAUUUUUAACAUACUUAUCUAUAUUUUUAGAAAUUUUGAGCCAAAAAUUCAUCUAAAAAUUCAAGAUGUGGUUCAAACUAAAACCUUUAUUAAAAGAAUUUACUUAAAAAUUUUAAUUUUGAAGCUUUGACUUCAAAUAGAUCUAUUUUCUUUGUUCCAAAUCGGAAUUUAUCAAUAUCUUUGUAUAAAAUAUAAUUCUUUAAGUCAACUUUUGAACGUCACUUUUAAAUCUCCAAAAGAUCUCAAAUAACUCCUUUUAUUCAAAAAAGGUGGUAGUAGGUAUAAUUUUAAGAUCCUAACUUCAAGCAUCCAUUUCUCUGUCAAUAAAAAGUCCAAAUUUCUUAAUUUUUAUACAAAAAUUAUAGUCCUCAAUAUAAGCUAAUAAAUCCUAAUGUUUGAACUUAAAGUGGUGACCUUAAAGAGGCCUAAAAUUCCAAUAUGGUCUCCAAAAACAUCUUGAAGUCCAUUGGACAUGACCUUCAACCAAUGAGAAUGAAGUCCUCCAUUAAUUUGUCUUAUUCAUCCACAUAGAAUGGCCUAGAAGUCAAAAUAUUAUAUCCUUGAUAUCAAAGCCUCUCUAAAAUCUUUAUCAAUAAAUCCUAAAAUUUAUAUUUUUAAUUAAAAAACUUAAAUAAAUAAAAUAAAUAUUUUAUUUAUUUAUUUAUUUAAUUUUUAAUUUUUUUAAUUACAAUCCAAACUUUCAUAAUAUUUCAUAUUAUUUUUACAUAUUAUGCUACUUUCUACUAUAAUAGCACAAAAUUUAGCUACUCAUAUCAAAGUCAUCUAAUAUUAAAUCCAAUUCCAAGCCAAACAAUUGAGUGCUAAAGUUGUACAAACUAUUUGACAUUAGCCUCAUUGUUCUUGCUACAUGCAAUUAGUUUACUAUAAAAUGAAGAAAUUCUUUAAAAAAUGGAAUAAACUAAAGCCUAUUUAGCAUGAAAACUACUCAAUUGUAUGUAGCUUUAUCUAAAUAUAAUUUCAUUGCAUAAAAACUCUAACUCUCGCCAAUUUUCUAAGAAUGAUGCUCAAGAAGAGAUGUUAAACACGAAAUGUAUAGAGCAUGAUGUUAGUCUGACUUUUCUUAUUGUUAUUGAAGAUUAUGAGAGAUUCAGUCUUUACAUCAAAGUGGGUGCCUACAAAUCAAGCAUUUUGUAGUCAUGCUAAAUUAUCAUUAUUAUUUAAAAAGAUGUCAACACCGUACAAACAUUUGUAUAAGACAUCUACAUAGCUACUACCACCGCACCUUCUUCCUUCCUUCCUUCACUUUAAACUCUGUAAAGUAAUAUCAUAUUACGUGAAGUCUGCUUGAAAAUGUACUAAACACUUGACUUUAGAAGGAAAAAUAGAACUUAUAAUAAAAUGACUUUAACAAUUUUAAUAGAAUCUUAAACAAAAUUUAAUUAAAUUAUAAAAAUAUUAAUUAUUCUUUGAUUAAAUCCAAAAGAAAUUUCAAGAACUUACAAAAGAAACAUAAAGAAAUUAUAAAUUAAUCUUAAUAAAAUAUAUAAAAUUACAACAAUCUUAAAGAAAUAUCAAAAAUAGUAAUUUUAAUUAAAUCCUAAUCAAAUCUUAAUAAGACCCUCAAAAAAUAUUAAAAAAAUCUUAAUUCAAUCUCAAUCAAAAUUAAAUAAAAUUCAAAAUUUUAAAUAAUCUUAAUUAAAUUGUAAAUUUUUUUUAAUGAAAUCUUAAAUAAAACUUAAUCAAAUUCUAAAUAAAUCCUAAUCAAAUCCUUAGUAAAUCCUAAUCAAAUUCUAAAUCCUAAUCUUAGAUUAAAUUCCAAUGAAAUCUUAAAUUCUAUUCAAAUCUUAUUAAAUCCUAUCAAAUUCUUAAAAAAAAUCCUAAUAAAAUCUUAAUUCCUAAUCCUAGCCAAAUCUUAAUAAUGUCCUAGAUCUUAAAUAAUUCCAAGUAAAUUUCAAUUAAUUACUAUAAUUAUUUGAAUCCUUAAUAAAUAUUAAUUGAAAAAUAAGUCUUGACUAAAAUUUCACCUAAGUUUCAAUCAACAAGCAGUUAAUACGUACACAAAAUUUGAAAAGAAUCUAACUUAUUAAUUGAAAGGAAAGCUCCCAAAAUCUAUUAUUCAUUGAUUGUAUUCCUUUUUUGACUUGAAUAUUGAUCUUUUAAUACUAAUUUCUCCUUUUUAAAUUAUUUAAUUGCUUCAAAAAUCAAAUUUUGUAUUGAUAUUUUAGUUUGAAUUGCUCUCAAUAAAUUUUUCUUCAAUCCAAUUUACACAUAUUGCUAAAUCUCAAAUUUUUGGAACCAUAAUCCACAAUAGCCCUUAUUUUUUCAAUCAAACUACUUGAUUGACCUCAAAUUUUUCAUACACAUUUAUAAUAAGCACAACAAUAAAUUACUAAAAUUUUUAUUAUAUCCAUACUAUGAAACUUACAAACUUCUAAAAUUAAUAGACCUAUUUUUAUUUUUCAAAAUCUAAAUCCUCUAAGUACAUCAUUAAUUUUGAAAAUCCUUCAAAUUUUUAAUAUUAAUCCAAAUAAUAUAAAACUAAUACUCAAAAAUCUCUUUUUAAGUUUUCUUUCGAAUCUAAGUCUUUGAUUUGUAAAAAAAACCUUGGAAUCGCUCUAGGUACUUAUUUUGUGCCUUAAAAUUUGAUUUUGAUCCUAGUUAGCAACUGGUCCUCUUCAAAAAUUAAUUCUUAUUUUCUUGAGGUAAUUUUUGCUAAAAUCAAUUCCUAACUUCUUCUUAUAUAUGUCUAUAUUUUAUUUCUCUAAUCUACAUUUUUUUGCCUUAUUUAUGGUUUAACAAAGUAAAUAAAGUCUAUUUCCAUAAAAGAUAGUUCUAACACUAAUAGAUUUUAUUAUUUGCCUAUCAUUUAUUUAUAUUUUAUAUUAUAUAUUUUUAAUUAGGCUCUUCUAUAAUAAUAAUUUUUUUUUUCUUUUUUUACCUAAUAGCCGUGUUACUACACAAAAUCCAUCUUCCUUAAACUUGUGCAUCUUCUAAUAUAUACCAAUGAUUCUUUAAUUUGUUGAUGUAAGAUAUUUUUUAUCUUGGUCAAAUUCUUGAUCUUCAAUGUGUACUUCCAUUCCUAUUUCAAUUUUAUUUAAUAAAUUUUAUUCUUCACCAAAAUAUGUAUAUAUACCUCUUUGUGUAAAUAAUUUGACUCAUUUUUUGAUAAUAGGCAUCUUUAAUUAUACUUCAAUCUAACAAUUUGAUUGACAUCAAAAUUUGUAUAUACAUUUAAAACCAAUAUGUCAAUAUAUUUUCCAAAUUUCACCCACAUAUAUACCACGAAAUUCAAAAAAUCCUCAAAUUUAAAAACAUAUUUUUAUUUCUCAAAUCUUCAUCCUAUAAAGAAUAUUACUAACUUUGAAAAUUCCUCAAAAUCUCAAUAUUGAUUCAAAUGGCAUGAAAAAAAGCAUAAAAAUCUCUUUUCUUAUUUUCUUUCAAAUUCUACUCUUUGAUCUAUAAAAUAAUUUUGGAAUUUCCGUAUAGAUGUGGUUUUGUGCCUCAAGAUCUGAUUUCAAUCUUGGUUUACAACUGAUCCUCUUUGGAUAUCAAUUUUUUGUAAUUUGAGGUAAGUUUUACUUUAACCAAUGAUUAAUUCUUUCUUGAACAUAUCUACAUCAAUUUCUUAUCUCAUUUACUUUGAUUUGGCUUAUUUAUGCCUCUACAAAAUAAAUAGUAUUCCCUUCUAUAAAACAUAGCAUCAAAACUAAAUCUUUUAUUACCUUUUUAUUAUUUAACCUUAUUUUUUUAUUAUAUAUUUCUACUAGGCUCUUUUAUAAUAACAUCUAUAUUUUUAUUUUUCACUAUAUAAUCAUAUUACUACACAACAACAUUUUAUUAAAUCUUUUUUUAUUUUUUUGUCUUGCUUCUUUCAACCUUUUGGCUGUUACUUCAAUAUCCUCAAAUCUUUUUUUUAAUUUUUGAAUCCAUAAUACUAAAAACUCAUCUCUAUUAAGAUCAUUUCUUUAAAGCUAUAUUUUUCAUAUAUGCAUUGUUUCUUCUACUGGCAUAAUUGAUUUUUGUUUGUAUAUUAACUCAAAAAGUAUAUUACCAAUCAUCAUACUAUGAGUGGUGUGGUCUAUCUAUAAUGCAAAUAGUAGUAGCUUAGGCCAUUGAUAUAUUUUUCUAUUACAUAUUUUUACUAAUGCUUUAAAAAUAUGUGAAUGUUCUUGCUCAUUCUUCCUAUUCUCUUUUAGAUUAUAUGUUAUUUUUAAAAAAGAUAUAAUUUCCAUUCUACUAAAGAAUUCUCUUAUUUAUUUUACAUCCAAUUUUCCUCUAUCUACAAUGUUUUUUCCAAUACAACCAUAGAAAAAAAUAAUGUCUUCUAGAAAAAAUCAACAUACACUUUUAGUACUUUUUAUUCUUAAUAGUCAUCUUUCAACCAUAUUUGAUAAAUCUUCUUAUGCAAGUAUUAAAUAUUUCAUUUGUCCAAGUCCUAUAGAAAUUUCUAUUAAAUCUACUAUCAACUUAUAAUAUAGUACUAAAAGAUAACUUUGAUGUAAUCUAUUCCAAUAUCAAAAGUGAGAAUAAACUUGACAAACUUCAUAUGAUUCUAAAAAAUUUGCCAUGUCUUUGAAUAUGUCCUUCCAUCAGUAUUUUUUCUUCAAUUUUUUUAAAAAAAAUCAAAUUCUUCUAUAUCCUACCUAUAAACUUUCAUGAAAUUCUUUAAUAAUCUUUUGUUGAGCUUUUAAACCACAUAUCAUCUAUUGUGGCAUUUUAUUUUCUCUUCUUUGGAUGUUUCCAUAAAUAUCCAUCAUAUAAGAAAUGUCCAUAAGCUUUCUUUUGGAUUUUUUUUUAAAAAAAAUCUAUUCAACUUUCUUAUUGCUUUAAUAUGUUUAAAUACUUUCUAACAUCUUUUUAUUUACCUUUAUAUAAAUCUUUCAAAAAUAUUUCUAAUAAUAUAUUCAAAUAUACAUCUUUUCUUUUUAAUAAUGUAUUAAUGUGAAAUUUUAUAUCCAUGUUAUUUUCUAAAUCAAUCAUAUUUUUUUCAUUAUAAUAUCUUACUAUUAAUAAUAUAUCUGUGAUUAAUUUUUUUUCCUAUAGUGUGCUUAAAUUUUAGAUUCAUAAGUUUGAUAUUAUGCUAUCCACCUUAAUACAGCAAUAUCAAGAGUUGAACAACUUAUAAUGAUGUUCAAUAAAGGUAGACAAUCUAUUUCUAUAAUUAUUGAUACAUCAAUGAAGUAUUCUUUUUUAUUUUUCAUAGCUAUUAUUACAUUCCAUAACUUUCUUUGAUUUGUGUAUAUGCCUUUUGUCUAUCAUUCAAAACUUUACUCCAAAUCUUAUUAUGUAUCUAUUUCUUUGUUUAUCAUCUUAUCCAACUACCUAACUUAUUCUAAUUGGAUUUACAUCAACUACUAAUAUCAUUGGCCUUUCACAUUCAUAAUUUACUUUCUUAAAAGUUGGAGGUAAAGAAAGAAGUCUUUCAAUUUUUUCAUAGUUUUUUUUUUCUUCAUUCUAUUGAAAUUUUUUAUUCUUUUUUAAUAAUUCAUAUAAUAAAUUUUCUACAUGUGCAAAAAGAAAUACCCAUAUAUGAUAGAAAAUUCAUGCUUCUAAAAACCUUCUAACUUCCAUUAUAUUUGUAUAUUUUUUUAUCUUUUUAAUAAUAUUAAUAUUUUUUAUAUUUAACUUGCAUCCAUAUAAUCUAUACAUAUAUCUUACGACCAAAACUUCUUUUACUCCAAAUAUUGAUUUUGCCUCCAAUAAGAUUAAAUGAAUUUCUUCUAAUCUUGCCAAAAUCUUCUAUCAUCAAUAUGAUUUGCCACAAACUUCCUACAUUCUUUUGAAUCUAAUGUCUUAUCUUUUUUUUCUUCUUCACAUUCUUUAAUUGGCACAUCAUUUAAAAAAGAUAUUAUUAUUUUUAAAAUAUAAUCUUUUAAUAUCUUAUGUAUUUAAUUCAUUAUGCAUGCAAUAGAAUUUAUAGCCCCUUAUAGUAAUAUAUACAUUUUGACCAAUUCUAAUGAUGUCUUUAUAGUUUUCAAAUUUCUACUUUGUAUUACCAAUUAAAAUUGAUCAUAUCUUGAAUGAAGUUCUUCCAUAGAAUAAAUUCCUUUCCUUAUAAAUACCUUUGUAAAUUCAUCUACAAUUGAGCUUAAAUUCAUAUAAUUAAUUGUUAUUUUAUUUAUCAAUUAUAUAUCUUAAAUAAAUUUCAAUGCCUUAUUUUUCUUAAAUAUUAUAAAUUACUAAUUGAAAUAAAGUGUAAUAGAUGGUUGUAAAAUUUUCAUCCUAAUCUUUUUAUUAAGUAAUUCAAUUAGAUUUGGCAAAUAGGCCUUUGAAAUUAGAAUUGGCUUCAAAUUCUAUAAUUCAUAUGGAAUUGUGAAAAUAACCAUAGAUACUAUAAUAUUUAGAUUGAUGCACUUUAUUUCAUGUAAUUCAAAUACAAAUGCCUUAUCAUGUCAUAAAAGCAUUUUUUUAAACAUCUCUCUUCAUUUCUUAUCAAAAAAUUCUCACAUCCAACUUUCAAACUAUCUAAUAUCAGUUCAUCCUUGAAUUCAAUAUCUUUUUUUCUUUGAAUCUCUUAAAUUGGGUUGCAUAGAAGCCUCAACUAUUUCCUCAAAAUUCAAUGGUAGUAGCAAUGCUACUAAUUUGAUCUUCUUUGCAAUGAUCUUAUAUUUUGUAUUUACCUUUAUUUUAUACUUAUCCAUAUUUUCUUUCAUUCCAUCAUAAAAUUGCUUAAAAUAUAAAUUUAUUAUCUUAUCACUACUUUCAAAAACUAAAUCCAAUAACAUUUAUAAAUUAUCCAUAGUAUCACCAAAAAAAGUUUUUUCAAAUAUCCUUGAUAUGUAUUUAUCUUUUUCAAUCAUUCUACAUUUCUUCAAUUCAUGCUUCAUAUUUUUGACAUUUUUUAUUCUUAUUUUUCUAAAACUAUUUAUAUAUAUCUAUCUCUUCAUAAUCCUAUAAUAGCCUCAUUUCUUGUACUAAGCAAGAAUCCAUCAUCCCUUCUACUAUUGUAAUACCGCUUUACAAUGGUUUUUAGUAAACAUCCUUUAAGUCAUCAAGAUCUUCAAAUUCUUUCAAUAUCCUUGACAAAAGAUUCUCCCUCAAAUUAUCACAAUUUCUUUCAUGAUUUAUACAAAUUGUUAAAAAUUUCAAAACUUUCUUUCUAUCUUGACUUCUUAUCCUUGUAUAAGCCAAACCAUCAUCCAUAAUCUUUGUUUUUAUUUGUAUGGCAUUACUAUAUAAUUAUUUCAAUAUAAAAAGAUAUGUGGACAUAUCUUAUACAAAGAAAUUUUAUUCAUAACUAACAUCUCAUAUUGUCACUUUAAGAUUUGGACAAGCUUCAUAUAAAUCUCCCUUUGAAUUAUUUGUCAAUCUUAUCAUCUAUCCAUGUUCAAUAUUAAUAGGUCAAUUUUUUAUUUUGUAUAAUUUUUUGAUAACAAAUUGAUUUCAAAAUCAAGAUCAAUUAAUAUUAUAUUUGAUUCUUUUAACUCUUUCAAUUUUAUUAAUAAAUUUGAAGUAGCCCUUGCCUAUUGAUUUCAAGAAUAAUAACUAGAAGCUGGAAUCACAUCUUCUUCUUUUGUAAAUCAAAUUCACAAAACAUCUCCAAACUUUUGUAUCUCAUCCUUUUUAUCUACACUACUUCUUAUUGCUUUUGCUCCUUAUAUAUUUGAUGUUAUAGUAUCUCCUAUAGAUUGCUUUUUUUUUCUUUAUUAGUUUAAUAAUGAUUUCAUGAAAUUCAUGCUUUGUAAUUUUUAGAAUUUUAUUAAUUAUAAUUUUAACCUUUUCUCCUAAAACAUUUUCUUCUAAUAUCUUCUUCAAAUUUGUAGUAGCUUCAAAAUUUGAUUGUAAUUUAUAAGCAAGAGCCUUUGUUUUAUUUUGUUUUGUUUUUUUUUUUUUUUUUUUUUUUUUUUUUUUUGACAAUUUUUUGUUUAUUAGAAAAAAAAUUCCCUUUUUCUUCUUUAUUCAAAAAAUUCCUUUCUUAUCAUGAUUUUUUUUCCCCUUAUAAUUCUUUUUGAUGGCCCUUCAUUAUUUUCAUCUCUCCUUUAUUUUUCUUCUAUUAAUGCUUCAUAUUGACUCUUUGUAAUAUGAACAUGAAUCAAUAAUCCGUCUAUUGGAUUAUUUCACUUAAUAAUUUUUUAAAUUUUAUUACCAAUAUAUUUUUUAAUUAUCUCUAGUAAUUAUUUUUUUUUAGCAUAACUCAUAACACUUGAUUAAAAAGAAUUAAAUUAUCUUAGAAAGUCAAGUUUUAUGAUUAAACAUUUGCUAGGAUUUUCUUCCACUUAAUAUAUUGAUACUUCAUUGCUUGAGAUUUUAAAUGCUUCUUUUAUAAGCAUCUUCAUUCUUCUAUUAUCAAAAUUUGUCUCUAAUUUUUUUCCACUCUUUUAAGUAUAUCAUACUAUCUUUGAAAAAAAGUAAUACCUUUGCCCAAUGCCUCUAUAAAAUCUUUGCAUUCCCUUGAAUGAUCUAUGCUAUUACACCACAUGCACCUAUGUAUUAUAUCUUCCAUUGGUCCCGAUUUUUGUCUUGUUGAUAUUCUUAAUGUUUGAUUCUUCUCCUAAAGUUUUGCAAAUUUUAUUUGCAAAUCUCUCAUCCCUCAUAUGAUUUCACCAAAGUCCAUUUUUUCUUUCUUUGAUGUAACCAUUAAAGUUUGAAUUAUAGACAUAGGAUGGUUAAUAGGCAUUUUUACUUUAGAUGUUUGCAAUGGUCUUUGAAUACCCACUCUAUCCUUUGUUCUUUUUUUCUUUGCAAGCAACCUUAUUGCUUCUUCUACUUCCUUCCAACUCUCUCAAUAAUUAUAUUACUUGAAGAUCCUUCUUAAGUCUUCUAAUCCACUUUAAAAAUGAUUUUUUUUUAAUUCAAUUACUAUAUUUUAAGAAAAAUACAUCCUUCAAUGCUUAAAAUAAAUUCUCUCAUAAACUUCCAGAAUAUCCUAUAAUGAAUUUUUUCGGAUUUUUUAUCUUUAAUGAAAAGGCUAAUUGAAAUAAUUGAAUUAUGUCCUUUUCAAAAAUGUGCUUCAAUUCUAUUGUUUUCAUAUAAUAUCUUAAAUACUUUAUAAUAUUCUUUUUUUUAAAAUGAUUGAUCUUGAUCACAACCACUUGUAAUAUUUUAAUUUUCUAUAUCCUCUUUAUAAUCUUUAACUUAUUGUUAUUGCAUGUAUAGAGUAAAAACCUCAAAUAUUUUUAUAGAAUUGAAUCAAAAUAUAUAUCUUAUCCUCUUCUUGUUCUCUACUUCCAACUCUACUUGAAGCACCAAUUGAAGUAUCAUCCAAAGCCUUUUCUUCCAUUCUCUUGCCUUCCUAUUUUAUAAUUCAAAUAAACCAAAAAAAAAUAAAUACCUUCUAUUUUAAGAAUUUUAUGUCAGAUUUAUUAAAUUAUGUUAUAAUAUGUGAAGUUGUUUGAGAAUGUAUUAGAUACUUGAUUGUGAAAGGAAAAAUUAAACUUAUAACAAGAUGACCCUAACAACUCUAAUAGUAUCCUGAAAAAAAUUUAAUUAAAUUAAAACAAUAUUAAUUAAUCUUUAAUUAAAUCCAAAAGAAGUUUUAAGAACUUACAAAAGAAACAUAUAGAAAUCAUAAAUUCAUCUCAAUAAAAUAUAUAUAUAUAUAUAUAUAUAUAUAGUAAAAAAAUCCUAAAAAAUAUUUAAAAUAAUAAUCUUAAUAGAAUCUUGAUAAAUUCUUAAUACAACUUUCAACAAAUUCUAAUAAAAUUUUAAAUAAAUUUCUAUCAAAUAUUUAAAAAAUCCUAAAUCUUAAAUCCUAAAAUCUUCAUAUUUAUUGAGGUUUCAAAUAGUUAUAGUAAUUGAUUGAAAUUUAUUUGAGAUUAUUUAGGAUUUAAGAUUUUAUUAAAGUUAGGCUAGGAUUAGGAUUUAGGAUUUUUUUAUAAUUUGAUUAAGGUUUGUUUAAAAUUUGAUAGGAUUUGAUUGGAAUUUGAGAUUUCAUUAGAAUUUGAUGUAAAGUUAAGUUUUAAGAUUUUUUUAGAAUUUUUUUAGGAUUUGAUUAAAAAAUUUUAGAAUUUGAUUAAGAUUUGCUAGAUCUCAUAAUUACUUAUUGACCCUAAGUCUAAAAUUUUUGAGACCAUACCCUACAAAAACCCUCAUUAACUUCAAUCAAAUUGCUCAAUUGACCUCAAAUUUUUCAUAUACAUUUACAACAAGUACAACAAAAAAUUGCCAAAAUUUUUAUUUGUAUACAUAUACUAUGAAACUCAAAAAAUCCUAAAAUUAAUAAACCUAUUUUUAUUUCUCAAAAUCUAAACCCUCUAAAUACAUCAUUAACUUUAAAAAUCUCCCAAAUUUUCAGUAUUAAUCCAAAAAAAUAUAAAACUAAUAUUCAAAAAUAUCUUUUCAAAAUUGCUUUCAAAUCUAACUCUUUUAUUUAUAAAAAAACCUUGGAGUUUCCAUAAGUACUCAAUUUGUGCCUUGAAAUCUGAUUUUGAUUUAGGUUGGCAACUAGUCCUCUCCAAGUAUCAAUUCUUCUCUUGUUGAGGCAAUUUUUACUAAAAUAAAUCCCUACUUUCCUCUUAUAUAUGUCUAUAUACUUUAUAUUUCUAAUCUAUCUUAUUUUAUUAUAUUUAUAGCUAAAUAAAGUAAAUCAAAUCUAAUAUUAUAAAAAUUAGUUCUAAUACUAAUUGAUUUUAUUACUUACCUAUCAUUUAUUUAAAUUUUUUAUUAUAUAUUUUUUAUUAGGUUCUUUUAUAAAAAAAAUCCUUUCUUUUUAUACUUAAUUGUCAUAAUUACUAUACAACAGUAUAGAUCAUUUCAUCUUUUCUAUCAUUAUGAAUGUACACUAUCAAUAAGCUAAGAUAUUUAAGCUGAUUUUAUAAGAAAAUGCAAGACAAAAGAAUUCUUGAUCCUUAGUAGUUGAUUUCACAUUGUAGAAUGGCAUUAUUAUGUUGUAACAUAAUUAUAUGGUAAAAAUAUAAUCAAAAAUAAAUUUUUAAUUUAAUCAUCUUAUUUCAAUAGUAAUUCAAGACAUUAAAACAUGGCUUUUAUAAAUGCAUGUUAGUUUAUUUUCUUGUCUUAAUAGCUAGUAGUUGAAAGGUUGAUUAGUAAUUUUACCUUUUACUAUGUAAAAUUUCUUUUAAUGCCUUAAAAAGGCCAUAAAUUAAUAAAAAUAAGAUAGAAGAGGUACAUAAUUAGUAUGGUUGAUAAUAGGAUUAAGUUGAGGAUAGAGUCGGACUAAAAAACCCUAGAGAUAGGUUGGAUUGAUACAUAAGGGUCAACUAUUUGUGAGAUAGGAUCAAAGUGAAAUCUUUAGCUACUAAAAUUACUACCUAGGACAUAGUAAAGAGGUAUUUAAAAUUAAAAAAUUAGAGUUCAUGACCUAACUUCAAGCUUAUUUUAAAAGUAUAAGGCUUAUUUUCAUAGAUUUUCGAAUGACUUUAUAAUUGCUGUUCAAAGUCAAGGUUUGUAUGAGUGACUUGGAAUUUAUACAAUACAAUUAGAGCUAGCACUCUUGAUUCGUUUGUCCAAUUGGUAUCACAUCUAUAGCUCAAAACUUGAUAUUAUUUAGUUGAUUGAAUAUGCUAUGCAUGUGUAAAGUUUUGUAUUAAUCUAAUCUAAUAAUAAAAUUGAGAGAUAUCUAGGUUUUGGUACAACAGGAUAUCAAAAGUUGGCAAUUUGAUAUUAGAUAGGAUUUCUAUGAUAUUUGAAGAUUCUUUUAUUAGAUUAAGGUGAAAUUUGGCAUAGUAAUAGAAGACUUUAAGGUCAAGCUAUAUACUAAUUUUGAAUUGAAAUUAAUAGUUGAAGAAAGAAAAAUCUCUAUUGGAACAUUUGCAUCAACUUUCAAGUUAAUAGUCAAGUAACAUUAGUACAGUUUUUGGACUUUUUCUCACAAUUUUUAAGUUAGAUUGGACUAAAUUUUUCUAAGCAUAUAGAAGACUUAUAGUGGUAGUUGGAUGCAAAAUUUUUCACUAAUUGGAUAAUCAAAUUAGGAGUUACAACUUACCAAAGCUCAUUGACUAGGAUUAAGGCUUAUAAAGAGAAAUUAAAAUUGCAUAAUUAUAAAAGUAAUAAGGCAAUUGGAACUUACAUAUAAUUGAGGUCAUUAAGAAGAUUAUAUUUGAGCAUUUUUUAUUGGCUUUAAGCACUUUUGAAUUAAAAGUCAAAUUGUAUUCUUCUUAUAUAGUUCAAACCUAUUAUGGUUUCUUCAAUAUUUACAAAACACAACUUCACCUUCCAUAGGCAGGUACUUGGUGCAUUUCCAAACAAGACAACCCAUAUUAUGACAACAUAAUUAAUGAUCCAAAAAUAUAUUGGAUAUCUAGUUGUAGAAAAUUUAGCUUUGAUUUAUUAACCAAGCUCUAAUAAGUGAUAUAUUCUUAUUAUAGAAAAUAAAUAAAUAUAAAAAUAUUAAAAGAUAUUCUAUUGAUAAAACCUUUUAUAUUUAAUAAGAUUUAUACAAAAGGCUUUGUAGAGUAUGAAAAAAUUCUCUAACAUACUUAUAUCAUAAUUUUAUUAGAGCUUCAUAUCUCCAUCUUUAAUAUAUGUAUAGAGUCUUAGCUCUCAAAAAUUCCUAUUUUUUGCAUAAAAUACUCAAAUUAUAUCAAAAUUCUUUUAAAAAAUAUUUUUUUCUUCAAAAUAUUAUUUCUUUCUAAAUUUUAGAAUUUCAUAUCUCUUGAUCUAAAUAUUUAUUUAUUUUUUAAAAUUUUUAGAUAAUAUAGCAUUUAUUCUAAAGUUUUAUUACAAAAAAAUUAAAUUAUAAAUUUAUUAUAGAUUAUAUGGCAUCUUAGAAACUCUAGCAUGUAUUCUAAAUCUCAAUUAAUAAGUAUUUCAAUACUAUUUUAUUAUAUCUUAAAAAUCCAAAAUUCAAAUAAUUUAAAAUUUAAUAUGCACCUUUGAAAUAUAAUAAUACAUAUUUAUAUGAACUUUUAGCCAAAGAUUCAUCCAACUGCUCAAGAUAUAACAAGAACCAAAUCCCUUAUGAAAUUGGUUCACCAGCAAACCUCAACUUCAAAUCUUUUGCUUUUUAUAUGCAAAACGUAGCUCUUUAAACUAACUUUCUAAUUGCACAAUCCAAUCUUCAAAAUUCCUUCAUAGACAUGCUCUAUGCUCUAAAAAAUGAUAGUAGGUAUGAAAUCAACACCUUGACUUUAAGAACCUAUAUCUCUUUCAUAAAAACUCCAAAUCAUAUAAAAUUUAUACCAAAAUUAUAUUCAAAAUCUUAAACUUGAUAAUUCCUAAUUUUUGAUGUUUGAAUGUCUUUGAAAGAAUAACCCUAAUUCCUAACAAGGCCUUGAGUAACCUCCUUGAAGCCUAUUGGACAUGACUUUUGGCUAAUAAGAAUAGAAAAUUUUAUCAUCUAUCUCUAUUCAUCUAUAUAGAUAGCCUAACUAUCCUUUUUUAUAUAAAAAUCCUUCUUUAAUUUUUUUCUUAGUAAAGUUUAUAUAAUAUGUGCUCUAACUACUAAAUAAAAGAAAUAAAAUAAGAUUUUAAGAAUCACCAAUAUUUAAUAAAGGUGGCUCUAAAUAUAUAAAAAAAACUAUUAUUAAUAUAAAAAUCAACCUUAAUAGUUGUAAUUUUAGACUAACUACUUCAAAGUAACAAUUUAAUCAUAUUUUAUAACUUAAAUCUAAUAACGUAGCCUUCACCACAUUGUAUAAUAAAUUAUACAUUAAUUAUAUGUAUGCAUUAUUUUCAGAUAGUAGCCAAACCACAAUACAACAAUAUAGUUUGCAACAUUAAAAAAUUGAGUAUUGUGGAACACACUAUGGUAUCGUAAUCAAGCCGUUGUCAUGAUGUAAUAUGGCUAACAAGUAAAAGGGUGAAGAAAAUAUCAUGUUUUGAGGAUCUCACUUCAAAAAUAUUGUAGCAAAUUAUCUUGGAAAAAUAGAUAUUAGUCAAAGGGUAGAAAAAUUAAAGAUGCUAAUACUACCUUUUUACAAAUUAUGCUUCUAUUUACUUUUUAAGGCCAUAAAUAAGACAAAACAAGGUAGAUUAGAAAAAUGAAGGAUAUAAGCAUAUGUAGGGAAGAGUUAGAAGUGCAAAUUAGUAAAAAUUACCUCAAGAAAACAAAAGUUGAUACCCGAAGAAGACCGGUUAUGAACCUGGGUCGAAAUCAGACCCCGAGGCACAAAACCAUGCUUUGACGGCGACUAAAGGGUUAUUUGGGAGAUCGAAGAGCAGAAUUAGAGAGAAGACUUGUGGAAGGAUUUUUAAGAGGUGAUUUCGUGUCAUUUGAAUGAGUAUUGGAUUUUUGAGGGAUUUUCAAAGCGAGUGAUAUUCUUUGCAAAUUCAGAUCUUUGAGAAAUAAAACCGGUUUACAAAUUUUUGGAUUUCGUGACUUUUGUAGCAUUUUUAUGGGUGAAAAUUUAGAAACUUAUUCGUAUGCUUGUUGUGAAUCUGUAUAAGAGAUUUGAGGUCAAUCGAAUGGCCAGAUCGAUACACAUGAAGGUUUUUAUGGGCUAAGGUCUCAGGAUUUAGGGUUUUUAAGACUAGUAAGGUUUUCUUAGAUAUCUAGCAAUCUGCUAAUUGGAUUGGAGAGAUUUUUGGUUUUAUCAGUAGAAGACUUGAUUUCCUACAAGAAAGUGAAAUUUGGAAGCAAUCGAACAGUGGAAAAGGGAGAUAUCAGCGUUGGAAGUUGGCAUCAAGAUUGGAGAAGGAGAGACCAGCUGACAUCCAAGCGGAAUUUUGAGGUCAUCGACUAAUUGGUAAGUGCGAUUUUCUUCAAAAUUUUUAUGCUAGUUUUUUACUUAAACUCCAAGAAGUAUGCAAAUUUUUAGUUAGAAUCAACGGUUCAAUAUUUAGUUAUUUAAUUUUCAAAUCUAUGAAUAGGGUUUGGUUUGGGUUAGGAUUUGAUUAGGGUUUAGGGUUAGGGUUUGGUUAGGAUUUGGUUUAGGAUUUGCUAGGGUUAGGAUAUGGUUUAGGAUUUGAUUUAGGAUUUAGGAUUUAGGAUUUGGUUUAGGAUUUGGAUUAGGAUUCGAAUUAGGAUUUAGGGUUUAGUUCAAGAUUUGGUUAAGGAUUGGUUUAAGAUUUAAGGUUUGAUUAAAGUUUGAUUAGGAUUUGGUUUAGGAUUUAGGAUUUAGGAUUUGGUUUAGGAUUUGAUUUAGGUUUUAGGAUUUGGAUUAGGAUUUGAAUUAGGAUUUAAGGUUUGAUUUAGGAUUUGGUUAGGGAUUGGUUUAAGGUUUAGGAUUUGAUUAAGGUUUGAUUAGGAUUUGAUUUAGGAUUUAGGGUUUUUCUAGGAUUUGAUUAAGGUUGGAUUAGGAUUAGGAAUUGGUUAGAAUUUAAGGUUUUAUUAGAUUUUUGUUAGGGUUUGACUAAGUUUUCUUUAAUAUUCUUUUAUAUUUCUUUAGGAUUUCCUUGUGUUUCUUUUAUAACUUCAAUAAAAUUUAAUUGAGCUUGCUUAAUGUUUGAUUAUGAUUGUUAACGUUUAAUUAUAAAUUCUCUAUAAUCCUAUUGGAUUGUUAGGACCUUUUGUUGCAAUUUUCUUUUACCUUCUUGUAGAAUAAGUAGUUAUUUUCAGAAUGUAGAUAUCUAGUGUAUAGUGUAAACAGGAAUAGAUAACUAUUGAAAAGGUGGUUCAGCAUGUAGAAUGGAUGAAUAGUCAAGAAAAGUAGUUAUCAUCCAUAAUAUAGGAGUUAGUAUCUCGAGGAUGGGAGAGAAGAAGAAAAUGCCAGACUGUGAUAGUCAUGAGCCGGGAUAAGCUUGGUGCUAUCUCUUCUUCUUAAUUUUUUUGUUUCUUUUGUGUUAGUGUUGAUUCUAGUGAAGAGAAUCAAUUUAAUGAAUCAAUGUUUGAUUUACAAAGUUGUUUAUGGAUCACUAUUUAUCAAUUGUUGUGAAAGAUUGAUGAUGUAUGGAAGUUUCCAGUCACUGUUUAUCACAAGGUUGUAAGUCAGUGGAGAGGAAUUGUAAUCAAAGGAAUUGUCUCGAUCAGAUUCUAUGGAUUGGAAGUUGUUCGUUCUAGGGUUUGGGUUAUGCUUGUGUGUUUGUAAAUUACAUAAGGUAUUGAAAUUGAUGUCGUGGUUGUUAUCGUAUUGAUAUGAGAGAGUGGACAGUAGGAAGAAAAGUUAAGUGUUCUUCGGUAUUGUAAGCAUUCAAUAAUAGUGGUUAAUUGUGUGACCCUAAAAAUUGGAGCUCAUAUACAUGGUCUUUCCUUGUGUUUGAAUUCUCCUAUAUGGGUUUAUUCUGGGAGGUUUCUUCCGAAAUAAGUAAAACGACAAUCACAUUUUGGCGCCACUGUCGGAGAUUGAUAACAUUAUUGAGUGUUAGGAAUUAAUUGCUGAAGCAGUAAAGGAGAUUAGGAAGCAAACUCAAUAGAAAUAAUAAAAGAGUAUGGUUAUUAAGAAUGAGAAUUUAACAGCAAAGAGAAUAAAGCAUUUAAAGGAAAGAAUCUAGAGAUUGCAAGCAAGAAAUUUGUUGCGUAACGAGCAAGAUCACAAAUUGAAAAAGAAGCAUUGACAAAGUUAGAUUAAGCCGUGGUUGCAUGCCUGUCAGCAUAUUCGAUUGUACCCAGAAGACGAUCGACCUCUAAUAUUUUAGAAGUACAUACCGUUAAAAAAAUUAUCAAGAGCACUCACAAAGAGCGUUGCUAAUAGUCCAGCAUAUCUCUCAAGCCGUUAAAGGAAAGCGUGGAAGGUACAGAGGAAUUAGGUACCCCAUUGGAUAUUUUCUCAAUUCAAGAUACGUUCGAUUCUAACAAGACUGAUUCUGAAGGUUGGCAUAAAUCACUUGCCAAUAAAGACCAAUUCAGAGUAUAUCAAAACCCGUCAUUUUUACCUCAUAUUCAACCAAUAAAAUUAUUUGGAGAUAAUAAUAGUCAAUCGAGAAGGCAUGGAAGUCCAAAAAAGACUUUUGCGGGAGAUAGUUUUUAUUUUAGUAAAGAAUUGAGCAGAGCACUUGCAUCUUUAAUGGCAUCCGGUGGUCCAGCAGUUCCAAUCGCAAUAGAAAUGGGUGCGAUGGGAGAUCGCACAACUAGCGUGGCUCCAUUACCUACUUUUAGAGGUUUACCAGGAGCCGGUCUAGAUCAAUAUUUAUCACAAUUCUUGACUACAUGUAUAGCCAAUAAUAGCAGAACUGAAGAUAUUUGGUUAAGAUGGCUGCCAGCAACAUUAAAGGACACAGCAUUUGAGUGGUUUAACCGCCAACCUGUGGGACAAUUUAUCAAUUGGGAGGCAUUGAAAAAUACAUUUUUAGCCCAUUUUUGACCAAUUGGUUUUGAAGAAUGUCUUAGAAAAAAAUUAAUGAACAGCAAAAUGGUACCAUGGGAAGCGGUGUAGUCAUAUUAUGGUCGUGCAAUAGAUAUACUUCGAAAAUGGCCAAAUAACCAAAUGUUGGAAUCGUUUGUGUUGUCCAUAUUGAUUAAUAGACUACAUCCACCAGAAUUGAAGAUGUUUGUAAAGGAAGCCAAAUUAGCCACCAUUGCAUCAUCUCUUGAGCAAGUAAAAGUAUGAAAGGAAUGUCACCAAGACCAAAAAUUAACAAUUGGAGCCACGAUGAUUCGAUCUCAAGGAGGUUAUCAAAUGACAAAUUGAAAUGACGCAUCGGAAAGUUAUCUGGGAAGAAAUGAUUAUGGUACAAUUCCACAGGGAAUAGUGGAUGCGGUUCCAUUAUAGGUUGUACCACCAUCAUCAUCACACCUGUAUAUGCCUUAUUUUGUGUAUCAAAAACCAAUACCUAUGAAGGAAUUGCCAAAUGUAUUGGUAUCAAGGGAUCCCAAUGAGUCAUUGCUGUUAACAUUGACAAAAAAAAUGGAUGAAUUGGCUGUGAAUCUGGCCAAGGACAAGGAAAAGAGGCAUAAACCAACCAAUAUGCAUCCCUAUGUCUGGUGUAGCAAUUGUAAGGGGUAAGGUCAUUUAGUAACAGAAUGUCAUUCACCACCCCAAAUGAUUAUAUAAUGUACCUUUUGCGGGGGCAAGCAUAUUACCACCAACUGUUGGAAUUUACGGAAGCAACAACAACUCAGUAAUCAGAUAAUGAUUCAACUAACUUCGCGGCAUGUCAAUCAAGUCCAAACGAAUAAUAGAUUUGGCAGGAACGAAAAUCGAGCAAAUAAACAAAACAGGAAUUAUUCCAGUUUUUUAAACUCCAAAUUUCACCAAGAAGGUGUAUCUAAUACUCACAAAUUGGCGAUGAACCAACAAGAAUACCAUCAAUAUCCAUCCAUGACGAAGCCAAUGCCAGGGUCUACAAUACCAAUGGAUCAACCAGGAUCCUUUACUCAUCCGACAUGGAACAGACCUAGUCGUUAUAUAUCAAUAGAGACACCCAAUAUUCCUGAAGGAGUUAGCAGGAAACCACUUCAUUGCUAUCGUUGCAGACAUAUCAGACAUUAUGCGAGUGAAUGUCCUAAUCCAAAGGCCAGUGAUGACUAUGCUCCAAUAUGUGGAAAUUGUAAGCAAUCUAGUCACACUUAUCAACAGUGCAAUGUGUCCUUUAAUUAUAAUAAUCGAGACCAGCAAAUACAAACAAGCCAACUAGCGGAAGACAAAGGUCCUGUUCAACGAGACUCACCAGCACAUCAUGUUGAGGUGGUGAACGUAGUGCUUAUCAGAGGCCAACAAAAAGACAAGAAUCUAAUUCAGGACAUGAAUGAACGAAUCGUAGGAGAGCAAGUAGCCCCAUCCAUGGGACUAAACAAACCAAUAUCAGUAUUGGGACAUAUCCCAAUAUUGAGACCUCAACAGACUGAAGAACCUAAUUUGGUUUCACGUGCCAAUUUAUUGGGACUAUCAAGAUGGAUCCCAACUGACCAAGUACCAAUACCUGUAUAACCCAAUAAAAGAUCUUACUUAUUAAAGGAACCUUUAGUGAUAGAAAAGUUGGCAAAGUUACUAACGACAAUCUCAAUCGCUAGGAAGGAAUUGUUGCCGAAUGGAGUAAAAUCAAAACCAAUGAAAUACAAAAGAGCAUUGGAAAUUACUCUCAAUAUGGAACCCUACAACAUUCUAAAGGAUUUGGAUGUUAUUUUGCCUUCAAUUACAAUGAAGCAACUUUUGGCUGUAGUACUGGAAUGUCAAUCUACAUUGAAUUCAGCGUUAAUACGACGAAGAUCUUGCACUAAAGAAAUUCAUGAAAUUAGCUUAAACCCAGAUCCGAGAGCACCAACAAUCGAUGUAUUAAUCAAUGGCAUUUUAAUUCCAGGGGUACAAGUCGAUGGUGGUUCCAGUGUGAAUUUAAUGAAUGUAGAUACAAUAGAGGACUUGAAUCUAAAAGAAUUGCUACCUACAACAUUGGUCUUACGAAUGGCAGAUCAUAAUCGAGUAAAGCCAAUGGGAAUCUUACAUAAUAUUACCACUAUAAUCGUGGGAUUGACAUACAAAAUCGAUUAUAUUGUAUUCUGAUUACAAAGUUCUAUGUUAUCGUAUCCUAUUUUAUUGGGCAGACCUUGGCUUUAUCAAGCCAAAGCUAAAAACGAUUGGGGCCGAGGCACAUUGACAAUUGGAAAAGACCAUGACCAGAUUGUUUUACAGAUGUAUCCGAUACAAUAUCAUAGAAAAUCUCAAUUGCCAGAAACAAAAUUUACAUCACACAACGAGAGUCAAUUGAUUGAGGAAGAUGAUGAUGCUAUAGGUUCACUGCAAUUUGGAGUAGGACAAAACACUUCAACAGCAAAGGUAGGAGUCUAUCAAUGUGGAGGUCUCGACGAAUAUUUACUACAUUAGGAGGAUGCGACUAACUCGGAUCAUGCUAUUGCCAAAUGGAUGAAUAAUCUUGCAAUUAAUAGAGUCAGCACAUUAGAAUCAAAAUUGGAUAGUUCUCAUAUGUCGGAUAAUAUAAGAUAUUCAGAUCAGGAGAAGACAAUUAAAUCAGAGGUGGUAAAAGACCUUGUGUGUCAAUCCAUUAAUUUGGGCAUCAACGAAAUGCCACACCUAAUUAAAAUAUAUGUCGAUAUUAUAGGUAUAAAAUUGGAUGCUUGAAAACAAUUUUUUGUCCGUGACAAAUUUGCCUUUGCGUGGUCGUAUGCGGAUUUGAAAGGAAUUCUAGCCGACGUCUGUGAGUACCAGAUUAUUUUGGAGGAAGAUAUUAUGCCAGUUCAUCAAAGACAACACCGGCUUAACCCAAAAUAUUUCCUUUUAGUGAAAGAAGAAUUGGAUAAACUUCUCGACCUUGGUUUUAUUUAUCUUGUUUUGCAUAGUGCAUGGGUGUCGUCAAUCGUGAUGGUACUGAAGAAGAAUGAGAAAAUCAAGAUAUGUCACGAUUUUUGAAAGUUAAAUGCAGCUACUAAGAAGGACUAUUUUCCAUUACCAUUUAUAGAUAGUAUUUUGGACGCAAUCAUCGGACAUGAAUGUUACUUAUUUUUGGACGGAUUUUUGGAAUAUAAUCAAAUUAAAAUUAUCGAAGAGGACCAGUUGAAGACUACGUUUACCACAAAUUGGGGUACAUUCGCCUAUAAAGUAAUGUCAUUUGGGUUAUGUAAUGCCCUGGCUACUUUUCAACGCGUAAUGACACAAGCGUUUGAAGAUUACCUACGUUUAUCAAUGGAGAUAUUUCUGGACGAUUUCUGCACAUUUAGCACAACGAUUGAACAUCUAGCAUGUCUAGAUAACUGUUUGAAUCAAUGCGACAAGUAUGGAAUAUCUCUAAAUUCGGAGAAGUGUUAAUUUGGCGUACCAUCGAGGAAGCUAUUGGGACACAUUGUCUCUGUUGAAGGUAUCGCUAUGGACCUUGAUAAAGUUACCUGUAUAUUGCGUUUAUCAAAGCCAGAUACGGUAUCGGGCAUGCGUUGUUUCAUCGGCCAUGUCAGCUACUAUCGGUAUUUUAUUGAAUCCUUUGCGGUUAUCUGUCAACCAUUAACCAACUUAUUAAAGAAACCCUUGUCAGGCGGAUCUAGCCCAAUAUGGACUGAAGACUGUACCCACGCAUUUGACGAAUUGAAACGAAAAUUGAUAUCUGUCCCAAUUCUUGUAAUACCUUGUUGGACAAAAUCAUUUUAUAUCUAUGUGGACGCAUCCAAUGUUGCUAUUGGAUCCAUUCUCAGUCAAAAGGAUGAAAAAAGAUUAGAUCAUCCCAUAUAUUAUGCAAGCCGAUAAUUCGUUGCUGUAGAAUGAAAUUAUAAUACUAUCAAGCGAGAAGCCCUCAGAAUGAUCUACUCUGUACAAAAAUUCUGCCACUAUCUACUUGGAUACCCAUUUGUGUUCCAUGUUGAUUAUGAUGCGCUUAAGUACAUGAUAAAUAAACCUCAAUUGAGUGGACAAAUUGCUCGAUGGAUGUUACUUCUCCAGGAAUUCAACUUUAUGAUUAAUGUUUGACCCGACAAGAAAUAUGCCAAUACAAAUCACUUACCCCAUUUAUCUAAUAUAUUGGAUAAUGAGUAGAUAAAUGAUGCUCUUUUGGAUGCACAACUAUUCGCUGUGGAUGUCAUUACAUCCGAAUAUGGUGAAUUGAUGCAAUAUCUAAUGUUUCAGACUUUUUCAAUUUCAUAUAAUAAAAAAUUAAAGAAACGUCUGAUUUUAAAAAGUGUGUCAUAUACCAUGAUUGGAGAUGCCUUGUACAAACAAGGGUGGGAUGGAAUUUUAUGCCGUUGCAUCUUUCAAAGUGAAGUUCGUACAAUUUUGGAAGGAUGUCAUUUGGAAAAUUGUGGAGGACAUUUUGCGGGUGAUAGCAUCGCACGUAAGGCUUUAAUGGCUGGAUAUUGGUGGCCAACAAUGUUUUCAGAUGCACACCAAUAUGUUCGUUGUUGUGAUCCUUGCCAACGAAUUGGUCGCCCUACUGGAACUUCUGCAAUGCCAUUGGUACCAAUUUUGGCACAGGCACCAUUCGAAAAAUGGGGUAUUGACUUUGUAGGACCCAUUGCACUUGCCUCUCGAAAUGGACAUAAACAUUAUAUUCUAGUAGCCACCGAUUAUGUCACCAAAUAGGCGGAGGCCAUGGCAACGAAUAUUGAUAAUACCAAUAUUGUAGCAACAUUUUUAUAUGAGAAUAUUAUCACUCGUUUUGGCUGUCCGAAAGAAUUGGUUAGUGAUCGUGGCAUACAUUUUUUUAAUACAAAAAUUGAAGCAUUAACAGUGAAGUAUGAGAUCAAGUACCACAAAAUUAUACCUUAUCAUCCACGAGUCAAUGGGCAAACAGAAAAGACCAAUGGUAUCCUAUGUAAGAUCUUAACAAAGACUAUUUUAGGAGCGAAAACCGAUUGGGAUACUAAAUUGUUUGCAACUUUAUGGACGUACCAUACUGCAUAUAAAGUAACUACCAAUUCUAUCCUAUUUCAAUUGGUAUACGGUCAGGAGGCAAUUCUACCAAUUGAAUUAGAGGUCCAAAGUUUACGAAUUGCGUUGGAUGAACGUAUGGAAGACAGAGAAUCUCUUCAAUAUAGGUUAGUCCAAUUGUAGAAAUUGGAUGAAGCUAGGGCUACGGCUCUCUUGAUCAUCGAAGCUACAUAGCACCGCAAAAAGAGUUAUUACGAUAGUAAGUUAUGGCCAAAAUAUUUUAUGCCUAAUGAUCUGGUGCUACUUUAUGAUAGCCGCUUUAACAACUUUCCCUGUAAAUUUCAAGUACGAUGGCAUGGGCCAUAUCGGGUGGUGGAAGGUUUCUCUAAUGGUUCAGUUCAAUUGGAAGAUUUUCUGGGAACCCACUUCACAACACACGUUAAUGGGAAUCGGUUACAUCUGUAUUAUACGUAAACCUGGGACGGAUUUACUCAGUGGAAGGAGGGAGUCUCCGUAAUAAUGAUUACCUGACAAGAUUGAAAAGGUUAUGAUAGCUAAAAAACGAUUGAUGGUUAGUUUUGGGUACUAAAACUGACUAGUCAGGAAAUUAGACAUUCUUGAUUAGACGUGAGAUUAAGGUACAUUGGAUUAGAUGUUCUUGAUUUGGACCCCGAGUAAGCAAUUAGGAGCGAGGCACUCAUAGAAGGUUUCAUUGUUGUAAAUUUUAGACAUUGUACUUUGAACUGUAAGCUUUACGAUAGUAAUCAGCAAUAGUGUUAGCACGAGGAAGUAUUGAAAGUUUGAUUUUUACAAUGUCAAUGGAAAGAGCAAAGUGUGUAUUGGAAUGAUCGAAAAGUCACCUCAAUGUGAGGUCUAAGUGCGAUCUGGGAUCCCCGUCUCUUGUAGUUAUCACCAACAUGGAACCGAUGAAGUUGGACAUCUGUUGUUUAUUGAAAAGGAAAAAUGAUUUUAGAAAUGUAUAGUUAUUUACGUUUUUGCGAGGAUCCGAUAAACUACCACCAAUUGAUGUAAAACGAGUGGCAGAAUAUAUAGAAAAUUAUGAUCUACAUGAUGGUUUGAGUGUAGUAAGACGAGUCCUGAUUGGGAUAGAUGAGAAUAUCUUACACAAGGUCUUGCAUUUACCAACCGGAGAGCUUGAGGUGGGGGGAGACGCAUCAAAUGACUUCAAGCCAAGAAGCUACUUCAAAGGAGGAAUGUCGUCUAUCGAGCAAAAUCAAGGAUAGAAGGUAUAGGAGGCACUUAUGCCCGAACUUAUGGAAUAGAUGCGGUUUGUUCACAAGCGAUUAGCAUUGAAUCCGCAUAUCACCUACAUGGCAAAGCGAUUACUGUUUUCCGUGAUAGGAAUACUGGAAGGCAUGGUAUUCAAUUAAGCAGCUUAUGUGGCCACAAGGAUACAUGCAGAAAUGGGACCUAAGCGGAAGACGAGAAAGUUUGCUUCAUUAUUAUGUUCCAAUUAUGUAAACUCAGUGAUUGAGUAUACAUUAAAACAGGAAUCUCAACCAGUAGUUCCAAGUUUACAAACGGGAAAAAUUAGUGUAGGGGUAAUAGUGUAUGAAGUAGGAGAAUCCAGCAAAGCGACAGAACAAGAAGCAAGACCAAUAUCUACAGUAGAGCGAGUUUUCAUUUGGCCAACAAUAGUGAUGACGACACCAAUAUCAGUUCCAAGGAAAAGCAACCAAUUAGGAUUUCAAUGGGAUGUAAUGGAAGGGUAGAAUCUUAAGGAAGUUAUAUUGGGUCAAAUUUCCCAAUUGCAACUUAUAGUGAAUAAGCUCAAAGAUGAGGGUAGCUUAAAAAAGUAAGUGGAAGCGAGCAAGAAAAUAAUAUUGGAGCAAAAUUGCAAAAUCAAGGAACAGGAAUAAGUCAAGAAAGUAGAAUCGGAAUCCAAGAUGCGAGUGAAGCCUGAAUUGGAUGAGAGAGUGGAAAAUUGGUCAAAGGAGAAACAAAGGAUUCAGCAUAUCCUGGAAAAUCAAAAGCAAGAAUUACUAAAAACUUACAAAUUGUAUAGAUUGGAACAAGAGAAGAUGAACGCUCAGUUGAAGAUGGAAUGAGAGAAGGAGGCAUUGGAGCUUGAAAAGAAACAAUUGGGUGACCAAUAUCGAAACAAAACGGAUGAGCUACAAGCAGACAUCGUUGUUUUGAAGGAAACAGUAACAAAAUUGGAGAGUGAUUUGGUCAAUAUUGGUUAGUCACAGACAUCUGCCUCAACGAGAGUAAGAAUUAGAAAAUUGGAGGAGAAAUUGCAACAGCAACAACAACUGGAAGCUAAAGAUGCCAGAAUACUCCAAUUGGAAGCUCAAGUUCAAAAAUUGGGAGUAUACAAUGAAGAUUUAAUAGCUCAAUUAAGGACAGAGAUUUAGGACGAGUCGGAUGUAGAAGAAAAAGUGUUGAAACAAGACCAAAUAGAGCGAGCGCCAAGAAUUGAAGAAAUUGAACAAUCCAGUUAAAAAAAAAAAAAAAAAAAAAAAAAAAAAAAAAAAUGGUUUCUGUUUAUCAAUACUGUGUUUGCGGGGACACUGCACGGUUAGGAGUGGAGCUAUGUAGAAUAAGUAGUUAUUUUUAGAAUGUAGAUAUCUAGUGUAUAGUAUAAACAGGGAUAGAUAACUAUUGAAAAGGUGGUUUAGUAUGUAGAAUGGAUGAAUAGUCAAGAAAAGUAGUUAUCAUCCGUAGUAUAGGAGUUGGUAUCUCGGGGUAGUAUAAGGAGGAUGGGAGAGAGGAAGAAAAUGCCAGACUGUGAUAGUCAUGAGCCGGGAUAAGCUUGGUGCUAUCUCUUCUUCAUAAUUGUUUCUUUUGUGUUAGUGUUGAUUCUAGUGAAGAGAAUCAAUUUAAUGAAUCAAUAUUUGAUUUACGAAGUUGUUUAUGGAUCACUAUUUAUCAAUUGUUGUGAAAGAUUGAUGAUGUAUAGAAGUUUCCAGUCACUGUUUAUCGCAAGGUUGUGAAUCAAUGGAGAGGAAUUGUAAUCAAAGGAAUUGUCUCGAUCAGAUUCUGUGGAUUGGAAGUUGUUCGUUCUAGGGUUUGGGUUAUGCUUAUGUGUUCAUGAAUUACACAAGGUAUUGAAAUUGAUGUCGUGGUUGUUAUCGUAUUGAUAUGAAAGAGUGGACAGUAGGAAGAAAAGUUAAGUAUUCUUCAAUAUUGUAAGCAUUCAGCAAUAGCGGUUAAUUAUGUGACCCUAACAAUUGGAGCUCAUAUACAUGGUCUUUCCUUGUGUUUGAAUUCUCUUAUGUGGGUUUAUUCUGGGAGGUUUCUUUCGGAAUAAGUAAAACGACAAUCACACUUCCACAACCAGGUGCUCGGUGCAUUCUCAAGCAAGACUUCACGUAAUACGAUAUUGUAAUAAUAUGGUGUGAUUUUAAAAAAAUAGAUAAUAUUGAUUACAUGUUUUGGGCAUUGAUAAUGAUUCUACCGCUAAAGCCACUACUAUCAUAUAAUUCAACAAAACUAUCGUUGUCCUCAAUGACAUCAUUUAGAUUCAAUUCUACAAUGGUGAUUGCAAUGCGACCUCUUCCUGAGCCAAUAAGGUCCAAGUUCUUUUCUUUUAUGGUGCCAUCUCAACUACCAUGGCUCUAUUGGAUAAUAAAUGUUUUCAACAAGUAUAUUUUCUUGCAUCCAAGUAAAAAUCAAGGUAAGUUUUUCAAUAGUUGAAAAGUAUAGAAAGGAUCAUACCAAAUUUUAUACUGCAUAUAAUUUAGAUCCUAAUUGUAUUUGAAAAAUGUGUAGUCAUGAUAAUUUAUUAUAUUCAAGCAUAGGUUUUAUAUUAUUAUAAAAAUAAGAUAUAUUUACUAUUAUUAAAAAUAUAUGGAUAUUUUUUAUAUUUCAACAUAUUUGAGAGAUAUAAUUGAGGGAUAUAUAUGAUAUUAAUCCAAUAAAAACUUAACUUGUAUUUAAUUUCUUUAAAAUCAUUUUUUUGAUUUCAAUGGCAACUCUACUUUAAUUUGAAUUUAAUCAAGUCUAGUGGAAGAGAAAGUUUUGAUCCUAUUGGCAUAGAGGUCAAGUAUCCAAGUCUUUCUCCUAAUAUUAAGGUUUUAAGGGUCAAGCCAAAUAUUAAUUUUGCAUUCCCAAAAUGAUAGUCUUUCAGCUUUGGCACGACAUUUGGAAGGCAUACUAGUAACAUCUAGCAAGCAACUAUCAUUGACAAGGGCUAAAUCCUAGACAAACAUGGAAACACUAGGACAAACGUAAUGGAAGGACGUAGAGAAGGAAUUCCUCCUUGAAGUUAUGGAAUUGCAUUUGUGAACAAUCUUAAGAUGAAAAGUGACAAGAAGCUUAGAGUUGUAGUCAGUAAGUUUGAAGAAUUAUAGUCUGUAAGUUUGUAGUUUGUUUUUUAUAGCCAAUAUGUUAAUAAGAUUAUAAAUAAUAUGAAAAUAAAUGUAUAUAUGAAGAUUGAUUUUGUUUUGAAAUCAAUUCAUGGGAAUUCUACUUGUAGGAAUUAACUUAAUUAUUUAUUUUCAAGAUGUUUUACAUGUGGUGGCAUGCUUGAUUUUAUUUUUGGUAUAUAUCAAUUUUUAUAUGUGUUAUUUACAUUAUGAAUAUAUAUUAUGUUUUCAUUUGUUUAGAUUCUUUGCAUAUUAUUAAUUUAGCCUAUACCCUUGAUUGAUUGCAUUAUUUUUCUACUUAUUUACUUCGUUUUUUGAUAUUCGAGUAAUAGAUGGUAAAUGGCAAUAUAAGCACCGGAGAAUUCAAAAUUAGCAAAGCUUUUAUCUUGCUUGGUCAUGUCCCUUCAAGCUCAAGGUAUGCAUUACUGGAAACAGAAAGCACUGUGUUCAACAUACAUGCCUCAAUUACCGACAUAUGUGAUGAAAAAAUAGUCACACUGUCAUGUGAGAUCAACAAUAACAUAGAAUUGUAGAAUUUCCAAGGUUGAAGCAAUCAAUAUAAUAGUAUAAAAUAGGCCUCUUCUACUGUACAAGGUCGCAGUUGAAUCGUAACUAGUCAAGCCGGGGUUUCGUGUCAAGCCAGGGUUUCGUGUCAAGCCAGGGUUUCGUGUCAAGCCAGGGUUUCGUGGAAAACGCUUUGCCGCCCUUUCGUGUAAGGAAGAAAUCUAGUUUGAAUGUUGAGAAAGUGCCGGAGCCCACUAGAGUCGUUUUGACCCAAAUUCACGAGGUUGCAAACGCGUCGGAGGGAAUCACAGCUAGGGUAUAAGCGCAGUUUUGAUUCUUGGUGUGUGUCUUUGAAGCAUUGUGACAAAGCAACCACUGCCUUUAACAGCUCCACGUUUUUGUAUGAUGUGCAUUCGCUGUAGUUGCUCUGCUUUGUCUUCCUCGAAGGAGUUUCACAACCACACCCACCCUGAGAACUGCACCGGAAAUUAAAGCCUUCCGAAUCCUUCGUUGCGUGCUCAGGCCACCACCUUCCAAGCUGUGUGGCUAUCACUUCUGAAAUCCGGGUGGUGAAUCUUCACGAGUGGAGUUCUCUCAAGAUUCCCUAGUUGAGCAGCACCGUGGUUUCUUGCAGGACGGGAAGACUUCACAUCUUUUGGUCAGCUGCAGGACGAAGAAUCAAAUUGGGACUGUGGGCAGUUCAUGUCUGAGGAACAGCUUGCGUACGGCUGACAAUUCUUACUAGAUUGAUCCCUGGGUUGACCACCGCCAGAUAAUUCUUGUGCUUUUUCGCCUUAGACGAAACAUUCGCCUUUUGGCAACUUUGGACGUCGAGGCAGCUUGGAGGAAUUGCACAGGAUGACUGCCACAGGAAUGUACCAAGUUGUGUUGAACUCGAAGGUUAAGAUGCAACAUCGGGGUCCGAGGUUGCACAACUUGAUCAUUGCGAUGGCUCUAUCAUUCUGCGUUCUAGCUUUUCGCCUGUUCGCUAUCUCCCGGCAGGAUCACCAGCACGAGGUCCGGCCCGUGUUUCUCGACAACCCACUGCCGCUCAAGAAUGAAGUUCCCCGCAACACGUCCGAUCUCAUUGCGAAAUUAGCCGCCGUCACCAGAAUUGCUGCAAAUGGAAGCAACAUGACGAAGGUUUUUUCUUCCGAAAAGCAACUGUUGUGGAAUAAGGAGCACCCUUGCUCUAGCAGGCGGGAAAUUCACUCUCUCUACUCAACUAGGAAAAGCACACACGACAUACAAAUUAAUUCGAAUUGGGUCUCCAUUCUGCAAGAGUAUGCAAAGCUCCACAGGACGUGUGUGCUGCAAAUGGGCAACGUGACAGAUUUUUUCCUCAAGAGGAAGCAUAUAGAGGGUUGCAAGUUUGUAGUGGCUGGGGUGUCUAGGGGCAGCGGUAUCGGCAACAAGGCUCUGUCAAUCGUGUCGGCGACAGUGUAUGCCGUCCUAACGCAACGAAUCCUUCUCGUCCCGCAAGCCGCUGCUGCACCCGGAGUGUUUUGUGAGCCAUUUGAGGGCUCCUCGUGGACGGUGGAUCCUGAUCAUAUCUGGACGAAGAGCAAGAAGAGAACUGAUCUUUGGGACACCUUGGCAUAUUUCCACAAAAGGGUGGAUGCUAGAGCUCUUAGCGAAGCCAUGGUAAAGCCCGUCUACGCCGUUUCCACGACCGAGAAUUGGGACGCGCAACCGGAGCCACGAUUUUUCUGCGACACCGAACAAGCACAAUAUACCCAAGUCCAAUGGAUCAAUUUUCGAAACAACUUCUACUUCGUGCCGAAGCUCUUCGCAGUCCCGAGCUUCCGCCCCCUUCUCGAGGAUAUUUUCCCCCACCGGAAGGUACUCACUCAGUUGUUGCGGACCGUGAUGCUACCAUGUGAUCCUGUGUGGGAGCGUGUCAAGCAAGUGCACGACUCACAUUUCCGACAUUCAGAUCGCCUAGUCGGCAUACAAGAACGAUACUUUCAGGGAAAAUCAGAAUUCGAUCUACUGCACACGACUAUGGAGGAGAACGUCGUGAGCUGUCUACUGGCCGAGGGGCUUCUUCCAACCCCGAACUCCGAAUCUCAACCCCGAACAACGACAGUGCCACAGGAAAUGGACGAACCAAUCGUUCCUUCAAACUCUCCCGAGGUCCUAAAUUCUCUCAAUGUCACUACCAUCUUCAUCACUUCUCUUUACCAAAGCUUAGCCGACAGAUUGUCGCGGGACUACGUGCUAACCACGACAGAAUCCGACGAUCCGGUAGGGGUGGUCCAGCUGACCCACGAGGAAACCCAGAACUUCGGGGUCGAGGUUGACAAGCAUGCCUUGGUGGAAAUCCUCUGUCUGAGUCUCACAGACAACUUGGUUCUGACUCCACAGUCCACGUUCGGCGCCCUCGCGCAAGGGUAUGGUGGCUUAGUACCAUGGUUCAUCGACCUGCGACCUGAAACACAAACGCCGUGCGUGCCUGCGACCUGAAACACAAACUUGUUUCCAACUUCCGGCCACGAAAUUGUACACCUGCCCACAUGAUGUGGAUGUCAAUGGGCAGUUCAUGACGGACGUGGUGUCGUACUUGACGGAUUGCAACUCGGUGGAGAAGCCGUUCCUGCACAUGAACGGGAUCCAGCUAGCAACAGAUUGAGAGAAUAGCCCUGUAAGUCGCAGGCAUGGUUUACCCUGUUGUGAUACACAGUCACUGCACAUUGAAUUGUCAUCAAGUCUCAAUUUAUUCGACGCCAAAAUAUCCCAGAAGACCAUCACGAUAACGAAGAGCAGAUUACAGCUCAUUUGAGCUGUUCUCAAGCUCCAUGAGGUGGAAAACCAGGGCUGUUAUCUUCACUGCAGCAUACAGCCACGAGUGAUCGGUAGGGGCUGGACAAAACAAGUCGAACAGUAUAGUAUCUCUGACUACAGAUCCAACGAUGGUCGUCAGACCUUUUUGUUUGUCAGACGAUGCUCCGAUGAGAUAUAAUUCCGGAACUGAGUGGUUUUGGAAGGGCAUCUCUAUUAGUGCGCUAAAGGGCCACACUGGAAUGUCCUGAGCUUGCAGUACACCACCAUUGCUCGCCCACUCACGUUGGCAACACUCAAUGGAUUCAAAAUCGUGGCACCAAUGGUAUAGAAAACACGGCGCCCCAUUUGAAGAGCUUCUACAGAUUUUGGCAUGAGUAUUGAUAAUUGACAAGGUUGAGUCAAUUGGCAGUAGGAUAUUUUAAUGUGGGAGUAGAGUGCAUGAGUGAGGUACUUAAAGGGUAUUUAUAUGAAGAAGUCUACCUUUAAAACACCACAGUAUCUAAGCCUUACAAAGGUCUUCCACUUGAUGAAGAAAACAAAUUUAGAGCUUUUGGCUUUUGAAGAUUGUACAAAGUGAAGCACCUGUAAAAUAGACAUGAUCAUUGUAUUGUAAUAAAUCUAAAAUGCCACUUUUUUUUCUUGAUUUUAAAAAGUAUGACACAUAUUCAAAUUCAAAUAUAUAAUGUUUAAUUUUAACAGCAUUUUCUACACCUUUGUAAAUUUCUAUGAAAAAUACAAUUUGAGAUGAAUCUACUAUACAUUUUUUUUAAAAUAUCAUUUAUGUUAAGUAGAAAAAAAAAUAGUACAUUCUAUUUUAUCUUUUUUUAUUUAGAUAUUUGGAUUUAAUAUUUCUAAAUUUAAAGCCAACUAAAUAACAUUUCUUAAUUCCAAUCAAUCAAAGGAUUUAAAAGAUGUAACCUCAUACCUUUUCUUGUAAUUAUAUAACAUCCAAAGUGUUAAAAACACUAUAUUUAAUAGAAAGUGACAUAUUUUCUAAUUAUUAUAUAUAUAUUUGAAAUUCUAAUUCUAAUAGAUUAUGCAAAGUUUUUUGAAAUCUAAAGUACUUAAAAUAAUUGCAAUAUCCAUGAUUAUAUAUAUAUAUAUAUAUAUAUAUAUAUAUAUAAUCCAAAAAUAUAAUUUCAUUUAAUUUAUAAAAUCUUACUAUGUAUUAAUAAAUAUAUCAUUUGAAAAAAUACUUUAAGUCCAAAAAUAUUAAAAUGUUAAAUCUAACAAUCUAUUCUUUACCUAGGUUUUGUCAUAUAAUAGCAUUAUUUUUUAUUCAUAAAUUUUAUCAAAUUGAAUACGAAAUUUUAUCUUAUUUAUAUAUAUUUUUACUUAAAUAUAUUUUUAAUUUUUGACACAUCAAUACAUAACACUAGAUUAUAUACUAUUAAAUAAAUCUUACAAUUUAAAAAAAAAUAGUCUUCUAAUAAUAUAAUUUUUUUAUAAUAUUAUUAUUAAAUUAAAAAAAAAUCUUUUAGAAAAAGAUGUUAAAAUUAUUUCAAAAAUUAUAAGAAAUAGUCAAAGAAUCAAUAAAUAUUAAAAAAUUAGGAAUGCAUAUAAAUCAAUAAUUAUCUAUUUUUUCUUAAUCUUUAUUUUAUCUAUCUUGAUAGUUACUUUGAUGCAAAUUCCUCCACUUGGCACCUUUUUGCAUCCAUCAUGUAUUAAAAAGUCUUUUUAUUACAACUUAUUAUAUUAUUAUAUUUUUAUUAUAAAAUUAUUAAACGAAUAUAUUACUUUUUAUAAAUACAUUAAUAUUUUUUAUUUAUUCUUGUAUUAUUUUCUCCAAAAUUUUUUAAAUAUCAAAAAAAAUAUAUGUAUUCAUAAUAUAAUAAGAUUAUUUUUUAAUUUUUAUUUGUUUAUUUAUUAUUACUUAAUGUACCUAAAUUUAUGCCCACAAUCCUUUAGUAUUUUUUCUUGGUGACUUUUAUUGAGUUAAAUAAGUUUUUAUACGAUUUUAUCAUUUAAAAACUUUGUAUUGUAUUAGUAAGUUACCCUAGUCAAUUAAGGCAACUAUCUUUUUUGGAAAUUAAAUUAAUAAUUUAUACUGUUUUCUUUUAUAUUAUAUCUAAAAUUAAAGCCAAAAAAAAAAAAAAAAAAAAAAAAAAACCCAUGUUUUUGGAUCUUAUCGUGUCAUAACUUUCCCCCAAAAUAUGUCCAAUGUUGCUUUCCACUUACAAGAGAAAAAAAAAACUAAACAAAACAAAAAAAACCAAAAAAAAAAAAAAAAAAAACAAAAACAAAACAAAACAAAACAAACAAACAAACAAACAAACAAACUAUUGGACAAUUUUAUUAUGUAAUCCAAGUAAAAAAAAAUAUUUGAAUGAAUUCCAAAUAGUUAAUUUAAACUUCACGUCACUUUAAUAACAUGAGAUUCUUCUUAUAUUUGAAAAGUAAAAAAUCUUAAGUACAAAAAAGAAUUAAAAAUAAAUAAAAACAUUUCAUUAUGUCUAUUAUCUACCCCCUAAAUCACCCUUUGUCCACCUAACCUUAGUGUAGAGGACGGAAAUUAUUUUAUACCGUAGAUCGUAUAGUAGGAAAUACACAGUGGAGAGAGGAUGAAUCCUGAUCCCAAUACAAUUAGCGAUCGCUACCGUCGCAUGGCGUUGAGGGCGAGAGGGGAAGACCGACCCAGCGAGGGAGGGAGCCAAGAAACUAUCGACGUCAGUGGCGGACGAAAUUUCAGGGAAUCGCCAGCGAGAGCAGGAGAGUAUCACUCUACCACGACGCGUUUCAGCUACCGCUUCGACUCACUUGUCCCUACCCGUAAGGGUCUUCACGCGCUCUCUGCUCUGUUCCGGAAUCGGCAACUCUGUUUAACGUGGCCGCAUUCCUCGUUUACUCGUUUGUUGGCUUGAUUAGAAGACCCUUUAAGAGUUGAGCACUACAAGUAGACAUUUUUCGUUGUAGACUGGCGAAGGGAACGUCCUUUCUCUGCAGAUCGGUAUUGAGUCGGUUUCGUUCGGACAUCGGGGUGGUGCUUUGUGAUUCAUCGUCUUUGCUCUUGGAAGAGGUUAGUGAUUGCCCGGUGUAUUGGAGUGUGGGUGUUAGGGGUUGUACCAACGUGUAUCGCAGGUGGGUUUGAAUGAAUUUACUGUGAGUUGUUCUAGUCAGUUUUGUUUAUCUAUUGGAUUUCUGGUUUGAAGUGAGGGUUGUGUGAUGAGGUAAUUUGUGGCUUGAUCAGUGUACCUUUGUUGUGUUGGGUGAUUGUGGAAUGAUCCUUGAGUGAUGUCACGUAGAAAUAACCUGUUGCUGUGUCUUGUGUUGGAGGGUGAUCGUUUUCGCUACGGUCUAGAUAGAUUUCCAUAGUUAGCCCUAGCAAUUUCGUAAGAAUCUGAUUCGUUUACUUACAAAAAGUUUGCCAAAGAGAGUAAGCUUGGUCGUGUUUAAAUUUGAACGAGUUUUGGAAAUUCGGCUUAAUUUUUAGGGUAUUGUAUCACCCUAUCCCAUUGCGGGUUGCAAUUAACUCUCAAAUGUUCGUUGUGUCGGCGAUGAAUAGGGACGCAAGUGCUAUUUCUUUCCCGAACUGUUUCGAGUUUUGGUUCGUAUCACAUUUCAAGCGAGUUCCUCUUCUUCGUCUUAAUACCUCUAAUUUUAUUGAGCUUGUUCUAAGAGGAUAAUGGACGUUUUUAUAGUGUAGAUGAUUUGUUAGUGUAAAUAGUUGGAUGCACAUAUAUUCUUUUCGACUAAAAUCACAGUUAAUCGAUCUGCCGUGCUCAUCAGCUUUGUUCUUAUUAGUUUACACUUAGUUGCGUUUGUGCGUUGCCAUUCAUUACUUGAAUGGGUUUUCAUCUUCUUCUUCUUUUGACGGCUACCCGUUUGAUUAGUUCAUUACUUGCAUUGCUCUUCUUUAUAACAAUAUAUCUUGUUCAUUGUAUUAUCCUCAUUAAUGGAUGUAUUUCUGAUUCAGUGACGAUCAUUGUGCUUAAUUCUAUUUCAUCGUAACUCCACAGAUUUGUAUCAUACAUAGGCUGAGUGGCUAGACGUUUUAACAUCAUGCAUUCUUGCAGAUCAUGGGAGGGGAGGAAACAUACCCGUAUCCCAGUGCCCCGGCAGGACCAUAUGAGGAUUCGUCCAGAGGUGGUCCUUACAGUGACCGGCCUACAGCACCUUAUGGACCCUACGAACACCCACAUAGUACUGCAAAUGCUCCAGCUCACUCCUUCCCUCACCCUUCAAGUGAUCCAUAUGGAAAAAUUCAGUCUUUAAGCAGGCCAUCACAGUCUUCUGACUCUUACAGUGCAUCUGCUCCUCCUCACUCUGCGUAUCCUCAGCAAGGUCCCUACCCCCAAGGACCUCAUGGAUCAUUCCAUGGAGCAUCGUAUCCUCCACAUGGUGCACACAAUGUGAACGCUGUAACAGAUGGAGUAGCAGGGCUUGGAAUUCAUGGAGCUGCUCCAGCGGGCUAUCCUCCAGCAGGGUACCCCCCUGCAGGGUAUCCUCCUGCGGGAUAUCCUCCACAGGGCUCAGGGCAUGGUGCGCCGCCACAAACCUAUUAUCCUUCAUCAGCAGGAGUUUACCCCCCUGCUGGUCAUAUAGCCCAUGGAAGCCACUCUGAAGGGCACCCCGAGAAGGAGAAGGAUAAGAAGGAUAAGAAGGACAAAGACAAGAAGGACAAGGAUAAGAAGGAUAAGAAAGACAAAGACAAAGAGGGCAAAGAGAAGAAGGACAAAGACAAAGAGGGCAAAGAGAAGAAGGAUAAAGACAAAGAGGGCAAGGAAAAAAAAGACAAAGACAAAGAAGGCAAGGAUAAGAAGAAGGACAAGGAGGGGAAAGAGAAGAAGGACAAGGAGGGGAAAGAGAAGAAGGACAAGGAGGGGAAAGAGAAGAAGGACAAAGACAAAGAAGGCAAAGAGAAGAAGGAUAAGAAGGACAAAGAUAAGGAUGGGAAGAAGGACAAAGACAAAGAUCACAAGAAGGAUAAGAACAAGGAAGGCGGCAUUUCUGGAAUCUUGUCAAAUUUCAUGUAAUCUUAGCUACCAGCGACCUGAAAGUAUCGAGGCAAGCCAGAAAGCUAGGAGGUUUGUGUUGAAUAUUGUCCCUGCUUGGUUUGUUCUUGUUAUCUGUGUGAAUAAAGCUUAUGUCUCUUCAUCUAGAAUAUAAGAGUUAUUUCCUUUACGCUUUUGUACAAAUCCGUGCAGCACUUUCUAGACCUGUUUCUAGAAUGUGGUCUUUCAAAAGCAUGGUGUAGUGAGUGAAGCUUGUACAAAUCAACAAUGAUCUGCUUACGGCAUCCAAGAAACAGGUCUCUUUAUAGAUCAAAUGAAUUUGUGCACUCGAUUGAUUAUGUUGUAUGCAUCUCAGAAGACGCCACAAAUUCAGAUGUAAUAGCUGAUGCAAAUCAAGCAUGUGAACCUUGGACCUGAUAUUCUGGACUCUUGGACCUUACAAAAUGUUUUGAGUAUAGGAUGCAUUGAUUAUUAUGUGUAUUGACCACUUGGUGGAAUAAGUGUUGUCGUCAUGAUGUCGGCCAAAAGUACUGGAGCAUCGUAGACCAAAUUUGUGAAGAAAAUUAUGUUGUGUGCGAAAAGAAGCGUUUCACAUGUUUCUAGCACUACAAAUCUCUUCUUCAAAUGAAUUAGACAAGGAAAAGGCUAUGUA